This is a long non-coding RNA of Sarcophilus harrisii (Tasmanian devil), 1395 nucleotides long. RefSeq lists it as uncharacterized. The transcript has 3 exons. NCBI's taxonomy places the organism in Eukaryota, Metazoa, Chordata, Mammalia, Dasyuromorphia, Dasyuridae. The record is from RefSeq and is a predicted model, not a curated record.
CGUUUCCUCGGGAGAGGGUGGGCCGAGUCCUUAAAUGAACCGCUCCCUCUUCCCCGGCGGGCUGGGGGUUUAAGCCUCCUUUCUCUUACCCGUCCCAUCCCCUAGCUCCUUUCCGUAGGGUCCGGGAGACUUAGCUCCGAGUCCAAAUCCGCCCUCGCACCUUUAGUGACGUGUUUUAAGACUGUCACUUAGCCGCGUUUGCCUCAUUUGUAAGGAAACCCUCCUUGGGAUCCCUAAAAGUGGGACUCGACUGGAAAACGGCUCAACCGCCGUAACAGCCACGAGGACGGGGGGAUAUAAAAGAUAGAGAGCUGCCCUUGGUCAGCAAUACCGGAGAUCUUGGUCCUGUAUCAGACUAGAAUGGAUGAGUGACCGUGUGACAAUCAGGCACCCAAGAGAACUCUCCAAGACUCCAAGACAAGUUGCUGAGAAGAUAAUGAUUUUCUGAGAAUUGAAGUCCUGGUACCAAAGAGUAAAUUGGCUUAAUUUGAAGAUCUUGCUCAGUUCUUCAUGGAAUUUUUCCAGCUCUUCAUCCCUUACAACAAAAUGAACAAAUAAAUUUGUUUGCUAAAUUUAUUUAUUUAUAAAUAAAUAAAAUAGGAAAAAAACCUAUUAAGCAAUUUUCUAUAUGCAGAGGACCAUGCUAAGCACUGGGAAUACAAAUAGAAAAAGCGAUUCAGUUCCUGUUCUAACUCUCAGUGGAGGAGACACAAAACAUCAAAGUUAAGCUGCCAAGUCAAUGGCAAGAACAGGAAGUUCUAAGGCUGCUGCUCCCAACAUAGCAAGGCUUAGGAGUCCUCAGAUUAUAUCAGAAGAUCAGAUGAGAGUGCCAGGUACUACUAGAGCCAAGCCAGAAAGAAAGCUCUAGAAGAAUUUAGGAAACAGCUUCAGGACAUAAGCCCUAUUGAUCCUUUUUUUUCUGCAAAAACAAUAGAGUUGGUGAUCCCUCUCAUCUAUAUUUGUCCACAUUUAAACAUCUCAGAUGGGUUCUGGGUGGCCUUGACCAAGGGUUGAUGUGAGAAGAAAAGAAAAGAGGAAGAGCCUCCCCAAAAUCCCAUAGUGAGGGGUCUUCUUGCUGCCUGGCUUCCCAAUGCAUUUUGAAACAAGACUGGGUUAGGUUAGGUUAGGAGAGGGAAUCAAAGGGUUAGACCAAAAAGGGAAGGUCAGUCUCUGGGACAUUGAAGUGAAUAGAAAAAAAACAGAUGAGGAGGCACCAAACAUAAAUGUCACCUAGACUUCAGUUUUGCCUAGGGCCAGCUCUGGCUUUACAAGUACAUAAAAUGAAUGUUUAAUUCCUGAUGAUAAAGUUAUCCCAGCUAUUCAGCCAUAGUUUUCAACGGCUAGUAUCUUUCAUCUGUGAAUGAGUGAAAAAACAUUUUUAAGAACCUACGAAGA